UACGAAGGGGGCUAGCGUUGUUCGGAAUUACUGGGCGUAAAGGGCGCGUAGGCGGUACUUCAAGUCAGGCGUGAAAGCCCCGGGCUCAACCUGGGAACCGCGCUUGAGACUGGAGAACUAGAGUUCGGGAGAGGAUGGUGGAAUUCCCAGUGUAGAGGUGAAAUUCGUAGAUAUUGGGAAGAACACCGAUGGCGAAGGCAGCCAUCUGGACCGACACUGACGCUGAGGCGCGAAAGCGU
RNAcentral lists this ribosomal RNA (239 nucleotides) under uncultured bacterium. RNAcentral's name for it is "partial 16S ribosomal RNA". It matches the Rfam family "Bacterial small subunit ribosomal RNA", at positions 524 to 762 of the family's 1533-position model. The record is from RNAcentral.